Molecule: long non-coding RNA, 377 nt
Organism: Magnolia sinica
Lineage: Eukaryota; Viridiplantae; Streptophyta; Magnoliopsida; Magnoliales; Magnoliaceae
Exons: 3
Source: RefSeq, a predicted model, not a curated record
GUUCUCCUGGUGCUGGGGAUUGUGCUUCAUGUGUUGUUUGGUGUAUGGUACAUUCGUCAUAUGGCCUGCAACCGCACAACAGUGUUGAAGCUCUAUUUGAAGAGUCAUUAGUGAAUAAGGCAUUGAAGCCCAUUCAUAAAAAAGGUACAUGGUAAUUGAGGAAGUUGGGGAUGGUACCUUUGGAACUGUAUUGCAAGCUGUAUACAAGCUAACUGGUGAGGUGGUAAGUGCCUUCAAACUUCUCAAAUGCAAUGCAGUGUCCUUACUCAUAUUAAAGAAUUUUUUUAGUUGCUUACUUGAUUGCUAGUUUAACUGGUUGUGGUUUUUUCUUGGCAUGUUGUGGGUUUGUUGUAUAUGAAGUUCAAUCAAUAAUGGUA